GUGGGGAAUUUUGGACAAUGGGGCAGCCUGAUCCAGCCAUGCCGCGUGAGUGAAGAAGGCCUUCGGGUUGUAAAGCUCUUUCGGCCGGGAAGAAAUCGCAUUGGUUAAUACCUGGUGUGGAUGACGGUACCGGAAGAAGAAGCACCGGCUAACUACGUGCCAGCAGCCGCGGUAAUACGUAGGGUGCGAGCGUUAAUCGGAAUUACUGGGCGUAAAGCGUGCGCAGGCGGUUUUGUAAGACAGACGUGAAAUCCCCGGGCUCAACCUGGGAACUGCGCUUGUGACUGCAAGGCUAGAGUACGGCAGAGGGGGGUGGAAUUCCACGUGUAGCAGUGAAAUGCGUAGAGAUGUGGAGGAACACCAAUGGCGAAGGCAGCCCCCUGGGUCGAUACUGACGCUCAUGCACGAAAGCGUGGGUAGCAAACAGGAUUAGAUACCCUGGUAGUCCACGCCCUAAACGAUGUCAACUAGGUGUUGGGAGGGUAAAACCUUUUAGUACCGGAGCUAACGCGUGAAGUUGACCGCCUGGGGAGUACGGCCGCAAGGUUAAAACUCAAAGGAAUUGACGGGGACCCGCACAAGCGGUGGAUGAUGUGGAUUAAUUCGAUGCAACGCGAAAAACCUUACCUACCCUUGACAUGUCAGGAAGUCUUGAGAGAUUGAGAUGUGCCCGAAAGGGAACCUGAACACAGGUGCUGCAUGGCUGUCGUCAGCUCGUGUCGUGAGAUGUUGGGUUAAGUCCCGCAACGAGCGCAACCCUUGUCGUUAAUUGCCAUCAUUUAGUUGGGCACUUUAGCGAGACUCCCGGUGACAAACCGGAGGAAGGUGGGGAUGACGUCAAGUCCUCAUGGCCCUUAUGGGUAGGGCUUCACACGUCAUACAAUGGUCGGUACAAAGGGUCGCCAACCCGCGAGGGGGAGCCAAUCCCAGAAAGCCGAUCGUAGUCCGGAUUGCAGGCUGCAACUCGCCUGCAUGAAGUCGGAAUCGCUAGUAAUCGUGGAUCAGCAUGUCACGGUGAAUACGUUCCCGGGCCUUGUACACA
Molecule: ribosomal RNA, 1042 nt
Filed under: uncultured Dechloromonas sp.
Lineage: Bacteria; Pseudomonadati; Pseudomonadota; Betaproteobacteria; Rhodocyclales; Azonexaceae
Description: bacterial SSU rRNA
Rfam family: Bacterial small subunit ribosomal RNA
Source: RNAcentral